UGGUUUAAUUCGAUGAUACGCGAGGAACCUUACCAGGGUUUAAAUGCAGGACGACAGGGGUGGAAACACCCUCUUCUUCGGACGGACUGCAAGGUGCUGCAUGGUUGUCGUCAGCUCGUGCUGUGAAGUGUCGGGUUAAGUCCCAUAACGAGCGCAACCCCCAUUUCUAGUUGCCAGCGGUUCGGCCGGGGACUCUAGAGAAACUGCCAGCGUAAGCUGUGAGGAAGGUGGGGACGACGUCAAAUCAUCACGGCCCUUACAUCCUGGGCCACACACGUGCUACAAUGGUGGGGACAACAGGUUGCCAACCCGCGAGGGUGAGCCAAUC
This 328-nucleotide ribosomal RNA is filed under the name uncultured Bacteroidota bacterium. Its description in RNAcentral is "bacterial SSU rRNA". It matches the Rfam family "Bacterial small subunit ribosomal RNA", at positions 942 to 1273 of the family's 1533-position model. Lineage: Bacteria; Pseudomonadati; Bacteroidota. The record is from RNAcentral.